RNAcentral lists this ribosomal RNA (481 nucleotides) under uncultured bacterium. RNAcentral describes it as "partial 16S ribosomal RNA". It matches the Rfam family "Bacterial small subunit ribosomal RNA", at positions 28 to 523 of the family's 1533-position model. The record is from RNAcentral.
GACGAACGCUGGCGGCGUGCUUAACACAUGCAAGUCGAGCGAUGAAGUUUCUUCGGAAAUGGAUUAGCGGCGAACGGGUGAGGAACACGUGAAGAAUCUGCCCUCCACUUUGGGAUAACACAGGGAAACCUGUGCUAAUACCGAAUAUUGAAACAUAAGUGGCAUCACUGAGUUUUGAAAGAAUUUCGGUGGAGGAUGACUUCGCGGCCUAUCAGCUAGUUGGUGAGGUAAUGGCUCACCAAGGCAACGACGGGUAGCCGGCCUGAGAGGGCGACCGGCCAAACUGGGACUGAGACACGGCCCAGACUCCUACGGGAGGCAGCAGUGGGGAAUAUUGCACAAUGGGCGCAAGCCUGAUGCAGCAACGCCGCGUGAGGGAUGACGGCCUUCGGGUUGUAAACCUCUUUUAGUAGGGAAGAAGCGAAAGUGACGGUACCUGCAGAAAAAGCACCGGCUAACUACGUGCCAGCAGCCGCCGUAA